Molecule: long non-coding RNA, 643 nt
Filed under: Phasianus colchicus (ring-necked pheasant)
Lineage: Eukaryota; Metazoa; Chordata; Aves; Galliformes; Phasianidae
Description: lncRNA (ENSPCLG00000020231.1)
Source: RNAcentral
UAUCUAUUUAUUUAAAAGAAGUUGCAUGCUAUUGCUGAAACUGUCAUCUGGCUUGUUGCUGCCAAAUUGAGUGUGGCCCUGUUGUUUGUGAAGACUUCAUACGAUAACAGUGAGGCUAGAACUAAGGCAUCUUUACUUUUCCCAUUGUACAUCACUCCUUUGAAGAAGUUUCAACUCCAAUUAAUGACACGGUCUGCAUCAAGAUUUGUAAGCAGUAGAAAGACGUAAGGAAUAACGAAUGAAUUGAUGUCUUUUCCCCUAAGAAAUAUCAGCUGUACUGUGUACAAGGAGUUAGGAGGAGAUUUAACCAGGACAGCUGACCCAAACUGGCCAAAGAGAUAUCCAAUACCAAAUGGCAAUGCACUCAGCAAUAAAAGCUGGGACAAGGAAAGAGGAAGGGAUGAAAUGUUGGAAUUGAUGAUAUUUGUCUUCCCAAGUAACUCUUAGGUAUGAUGGGCCUUGCUUCCCUGGAAGUGGCUGAACAUCUGCCAGCUGAUGGAAGUAGUGAAUGAAUUCAUUGUUUUGCUUUGCUUGCAUGCAUAGCUUUUGUAUUGCCUAGUAAACGAUCUUUGUCUCAACCCAUGAGUUCUCACACUUCAAGCUUUUCUGGUUCUCUUCUUCAUCCUAUUUGGGUAAAGUGAGC